Molecule: long non-coding RNA, 1908 nt
Filed under: Cavia porcellus (domestic guinea pig)
Lineage: Eukaryota; Metazoa; Chordata; Mammalia; Rodentia; Caviidae
Description: lncRNA (ENSCPOG00000037034.1)
Source: RNAcentral
AGCACUCAGUGCGCGCAGCCCGCGCGGAGUCCGCUCAGAGCGAGAAAAGUGAACCCAACCCGUCGGGGCCGCCGCUCCGGACCCGCCAGCGUCGCGGCCGCCGCCUCGUCCCCCCGGUCGGGUGUACUGUCCCAACCCGAAAGUCCAGUUCUGCGUCCCGGCAGCGGCGAGCGAGCGGGCGCGAUUACACAGGAGUACGACAAACCCCUGAGUACCCAGGUGCCUUCAGGGCUUGACCAUAGCUGGACGGCUGUGAAGAAGCCAGGACUCAGGACAACUGCUUCUGUGUUUGUCUUGCCUUACAGCUCAGAUAAGGCAAAAUUUUCCAAAGCUAACGUCAUCUGGAACCGGAAGACUUCCUCUCCCAAGAUGGAGACAGCCUGAAAGGAUGAGAUCAUUGGCUUUGGCACCGGAGAGUUGCAGGCCCUUCUCUGUAUCACAAAGUUCCUCAUUAGAGAAAGUGACCCCCGAUUCAGCCUUAAACAUUAUUAGUUAACCCAACUUAUUUGACAAUAACUUUUUUCGUAUCGUUAUAAAAAACCCUUUACUACAGGCAGUAUCAGUCCAUCAUUGCACUUUCAGAGGUAACCAGAAGGCUUAGUGUGCACAUGACAGGAAAGCAGGUGGUUACCAUCUAUAUCCCCACCCUUAGAGAAGGCCUCAUGUGACAGACUAGUAAAUGCAUUGGACAACAACAAAAAAGCAUCUCAAAUACAAAACACAGAAGACAUUUCAGUUGAGAAAUCAAUUUUUACCUUUUUGUGAAUGGACUUCAAAUCAACAUUUGUUACUAUGAUAUUCUGAAGUCUGGCAAACAUAUCAGUCUGUUUUGGCUUCACAGAAACAGAGGCGUCCAUUCCUAGGGAAGGCAAGACUUUCACAAAGGAUUCAUUCAAUCCAGAUGAGUCAAGUGAGCAGUGCUGUGUUCAGUAACACACUACUAACAUACAGAGUCAACACAAGCUAUUAUUAGACAUACUGGUAUUGUUAUACCAGUAUUCACGUAUGAGGUAUGUAAGACAGGUUACACCUUUAAGUACUUCAUGCAUCUUACAUAAAAGUUGUGAGUUUAAAACCAAAUAAACAAAACACCUAGCCAGACCUGGAGGUGGAGGCCUAUAAUCCCAGUACUCCGGAAAGCUGUCAGGAGGAUCCCAAAUUCAAGCCCAGCCAGGGCAACUGAGCAACUUCAGAAGAAAUUAAGUUCUCCUGGCUCAAAAUUACAAAAAGUUUAAAAACUAGAGUGAGAGUAUAGCUCAGUGGAAAGCCUCUGGAUUCAAUCCCACAAAGGAAAGACAGGAAAGAAGGAAAAGAGGAGGAAAGGAGGAAGGGUAAUGUGCUGCUUCAUUCUUUCAAACCGACAACAUCAAAAGGUCACAAGUGUCUUUCAGAAACUCCUUUGCCUAUGCUACAUACGGGGAAAAGGCAAAAUAAAUAAACUAUUUUUUAAAAAUUCUGUGAUGUCUCAAUUAUCAGAUUAUUCUAAAAAUACAAGUACAGAAACAAAUUAAGGCCUCAGAUAUAAUCUGAAAUUUUUAAAAUACACAUGGAAUGUCUCAAGUCAGAAAAGAAUUAUAACAAAUUUACUACAAACAUCUCCAAAUAUACCUUUAACCUUCAGUGUAAGGAAACAAUGUUUGACUCAUAAGAAAUUCACCCCUACAAGCUCACUUUUGCUGGAUGUUUAUAUAACAAAACAGAAUUACUCACCAUGUAUUUUAACAUCAGCUACAGAACAUUAAUAGCAUCUAAUUCAGCUGUAACCUUUAAAUCGAACAUAUCCUUUUUAGAAAUGGUGCCAGAUACUAAAAAGUAAUAGAAAAUUUGUGAUUGGCAAAGUGUAAAGAUGAUAGAACACACAAAAUAAUCUCAAAUUCAAUAAAAUAAAAUUGUACUAGGAGGAGCCAA